GGGGGCCCGCACAAGCGGUGGAGCAUGUGGUUUAAUUCGAUGCAACGCGAAGAACCUUACCUGGCCUUGACAUACUAAGAACUUUCCAGAGAUGGAUUGGUGCCUUCGGGAACUUAGAUACAGGUGCUGCAUGGCUGUCGUCAGCUCGUGUCGUGAGAUGUUGGGUUAAGUCCCGCAACGAGCGCAACCCUUUUCCUUAUUUGCCAGCGGGUAAUGCCGGGAACUUUAAGGAUACUGCCAGUGACAAACUGGAGGAAGGCGGGGACGACGUCAAGUCAUCAUGGCCCUUACGGCCAGGGCUACACACGUGCUACAAUGGUCGGUACAAAGGGUUGCUACCUCGCGAGAGGAUGCUAAUCUCAAAAAGCCGAUCGUAGUCCGGAUCGCAGUCUGCAACUCGACUGCGUGAAGUCGGAAUCGCUAGUAAUCGCGGAUCAGAAUGCCG
RNAcentral lists this ribosomal RNA (445 nucleotides) under bacterium 5A5. Its description in RNAcentral is "bacterial SSU rRNA". It matches the Rfam family "Bacterial small subunit ribosomal RNA", at positions 915 to 1359 of the family's 1533-position model. The record is from RNAcentral.